GAAAAGUCAUUGGGAAUAGUUCCAUGUACAAUUGGCAAUUUGGAGCACAAUGAACUGGAUUCAUCUACUAGUUCUGUUUCGGCCUUAAAUGAUCCGGCUCCAGCGCCAAGAACUUAUGGUGCUUUGAAACCGCAUUCCUUGUAAAUGCCUGUUUUCCAUGUUUGCAUAAAAUUAUACUAUGGCAGCAGUAAAAUGUAAAUUUGGCAAGUUUUUUAUUUUUAUCGAUGCAAACAUAUUGCUGAAAUUAUUCACUUAUUAUCAAGUAAUUACACAAGUCUUUUGGAUGAAAUACAAUUUAACAAGGUAUAAGAGCAUACAGAGGUCGAAGGUUCAAGUCUCACAACCAUUACCAAAAAAGAUAUUCACGAACUUGGCUUACAACAAAAUCAAUCUUGUACAGAAAAUGUUAAAGAUAUCAUUACGUAAACAAAUAUACAUAUCUAUAAUAACUCAAACUUUUAGAGGAGCAAAACUUAAUGCAAUAGUAAGUGUGGCAUGUGGCUACAUACCGGUUUCACACACUUGAUGUGCACAUUCAUCUAUAUCGACAUGCUUACAUGAAUUAAUGGUUGGGAGGGGUAGGGCGGAGGUAGAGUAUUGCUUACGGACUCGGAAGAACCCUAUAGCUUUUGCUCAGGCUUUCUAUUUGUAUUAGAAAAUUCAUUAAAUAUGUGUAAAUAUUUAUUGAGAACCCACUAACUAAGGCGUGCUAGAUUUCUCGCAAGUUCAGAACCCAUAAAUUCUAAAGUUUGGCUCCACUUCUAGGGAGGAAAGGUUACCAGUUUUCUAAUCGCCAUUGCUGGGUGAGGGAGGAGGCUAGUUUCCGGUCCAAACAAAGGCUCGUUUUGAAAUCAAAACCAUUUGGUUCAUAAAUCAAAUAUGCUAGUAUUUCCUUUUUGGUAAUUUUCAAUAUUGUUACCCAUGCAGUGAAUCAUUCUGUGUUUAGUCGCAAGUGGACAGAUCAAAAUCUAAUAAGUGUGACAUUUAGGUCCGUACUGGUGCACAUUUCAUCCAAUAUCGUGAAUUCACGAUCGUUGAGUCAGUUCUACACAUUGACAGUCUAAGAAAAAUAUUUACACAAUACCUCUUAUUCCUUCUGUUUUACUUCCCCUGAUUCAAUUCCUCAUCUUUUUACCCAUCAAAUGCAGUAGUACAUAUCUUGAAAUUGUGUUAAUGGCAUUAAGAUCAUACCUUGGAAGAAUUCUUAAAGAGGUGAGAAACUUAGAAAAACUAUGUAGCUUUUAGUUCUUAACCUGAAGCGAUGAAUGUAACCAAGUUGUUGAUAGACUUGCCUCUCUAACCUUGACAUACCCUCAAUCUCAGAUGUUUCAUAACUUCUCUGAACUGCCUACUCAAAUCAAAGUCCUAAUGCCUGUUUAUAGGUGGAGUCCCACAGUUAUUUGUAUAUCCAACAAGAAAAAGCCAGAGAUCACUUUUGAACCACCUUGAAAUUAGAGGAUUCUCUGUAGUUGUAGAAUUUUUUGGAGGUACCCCCACCUCUAGUAUAGGUAGACAUCACAUUCAUUAUAGCUUGGAGCCUUAUGUAUUUUACCAAUGACAUUUUCCUCAUCUCUUUGUAUCUAGAUAAAUUAGCUAUUUUUCAAGCUAGGUUAGGGAUGUAUGCUAACUAUAUACCGCUCCCACAAAUCAUCUGUACUAUUGAUUUUGGAAAAUUAAUCAAAAUGCGCAGUUGAUUUCUUUUUUAACAAGACAACUACAACAACAAAAACAACAAUAAACCCAAUAUAACCCUACGAGUGGGGUCUAGGAAGGGUAGUGUGUACGCAAACCUUACCUUGUAAAGGUAGAAAUCUCAAAUGAACAACUCCACAGUCAUAUUUACACAAGAUAAGAUGAAAAAUAGCAUCUUGUCUAAGAUUUUUAUUAGCAGAAAAAUUAAAGAAAAUAGCUCGGAAUGUAACUCAAAGUCAAAACUUCUGUAACAGAUUUUGAUUUCCAAAACAUGAUGAUUUCUAGUUAUUGAACACUUUAUGCUCUCAGGACUAUCCUCUUCCUUUGAGUACAAACACAAAACAGAAAAAUCUAAACCGGAAUGCGAAAACUGACACCACUAAUUUACACCACAGAAAAACAAAAAAACAGUAAAUGCAACACUAAAGCAACAGCAUGAGAUUCAGAAUUUGAGAGGACCAACUUUCAUAUGAAACUGAGAAAAAGCUAUACAAGCAAAAUUUGAGUCCGGGAAUUCGGAAAAUUCAAAAUGCAGACAUAUUCCUCAAAUAUAAAAAUGGUAGAAAUUAGCAAAUAUUCAAUGAAGUUUGAGGUUGAAUACCUUCGCUGAAGAAGAAGAAGUCAGAGAGCGUAAAGCCUUGGGAGUUGGCAAUGAAGUUCCGUUCGUCGGGAGAGGGCGGGG
Molecule: long non-coding RNA, 2374 nt
Filed under: Nicotiana tabacum (common tobacco)
Lineage: Eukaryota; Viridiplantae; Streptophyta; Magnoliopsida; Solanales; Solanaceae
Description: long non-coding RNA (NTAB_LNC013179)
Source: RNAcentral